GUGGGGAAUCUUCCGCAAUGGGCGCAAGCCUGACGGAGCAACGCCGCGUGAAUGAAGAAGGCCUUCGGGUCGUAAAGUUCUGUCUUUAGAGAAGAAGUCUCUCUAUGUGAAUAAUGUAGAGAGGUGACGGUACCUAAGGGGGAAGCUCCGGCUAACUACGUGCCAGCAGCCGCGGUAAUACGUAGGGAGCAAGCGUUGUCCGGAAUUACUGGGCGUAAAGGGCGAGUAGGCGGAUAAUUAAGUCAGGUGUGAAAACUCUGGGCUCAACCUGGAGAUUGCACUUGAAACUGGUUAUCUUGAGGGCAGGAGAGGAAAGUGGAAUUCCUAGUGUAGCGGUGAAAUGCGUAGAUAUUAGGAGGAACACCAGUGGCGAAGGCGACUUUCUGGACUGCACCUGACGCUGAGGCGCGAAAGCGUGGGGAGCGAACGGGAUUAGAUACCCUGGUAGUCC
This 451-nucleotide ribosomal RNA is filed under the name uncultured bacterium. RNAcentral's name for it is "partial 16S ribosomal RNA". It matches the Rfam family "Bacterial small subunit ribosomal RNA", at positions 354 to 796 of the family's 1533-position model. The record is from RNAcentral.